AAAUUUGCUCCUCAACCAUUUUGUGAAAAGUCUUAAAUCACUUGCAGUUUUCCGCACUGUGUUGUCGUUUUCGAACAAAUUUCCGGAAAUGCACGAAGUUGCAUGUGAUAAACGUCACGGAAAUUAACGGAAAGGCAUGUGAUAACAUUCCGGAAGCAGUCAAUAAAGGUUCCUUUAUCAGCCCGCUGAGGAAAUUCUCAGUAAUCUGGUCAAUAAACCUUGUAAUCCUUUCAUAGCCUUUUAAUAUUUUUAAAUGUUAUUGAACUGUAAAAUUUUAGUAAUAUUUUAUACAAGUAUAUGAUAAUAGCACGUUCUUACCACGAUUACACUACGUUCAAACCGCGAUCUCACUACGCUCUCAGCAA
This 365-nucleotide long non-coding RNA is filed under the name Mytilus galloprovincialis (Mediterranean mussel). The record is from RNAcentral. Lineage: Eukaryota; Metazoa; Mollusca; Bivalvia; Mytilida; Mytilidae.